RNAcentral lists this ribosomal RNA (319 nucleotides) under uncultured bacterium. Its description in RNAcentral is "bacterial SSU rRNA". It matches the Rfam family "Bacterial small subunit ribosomal RNA", at positions 28 to 346 of the family's 1533-position model. The record is from RNAcentral.
GACGAACGCUGGCGGCGUGCUUAACACAUGCAAGUCGAGCGGUAAGGCCCUUUCGGGGGUACGACGAGCGGCGAACGGGUGAGUAACACGUGGGUGACCUGCCCUCAGCUCUGGGAUAAGCCUGGGAAACCGGGUACUAAUACCGGAUAUGACUCCAUGACGCAUGUUGUGGGGUGGAAAGCCUUGUGCGGCUGAGGAUGGGCCCGCGGCCUAUCAGCUUGUUGGUGGGGUGAUGGCCUACCAAGGCGACGACGGGUAGCCGGCCUGAGAGGGCGAUCGGCCACACUGGGACUGAGACACGGCCCAGACUCCUACGGGA